This 449-nucleotide ribosomal RNA is filed under the name uncultured Peptococcaceae bacterium. Its description in RNAcentral is "bacterial SSU rRNA". It matches the Rfam family "Bacterial small subunit ribosomal RNA", at positions 933 to 1382 of the family's 1533-position model. Lineage: Bacteria; Bacillati; Bacillota; Clostridia; Eubacteriales; Peptococcaceae. The record is from RNAcentral.
UGGAGCAUGUGGUUAAUUCGACGCAACGCGAAGAACCUUACCAGGUCUUGACAUCCUCUGACAGUCUUAGAGAUAAGGCAUUCUAGCUCGGUUAGACAGAGAGACAGGUGGUGCAUGGUUGUCGUCAGCUCGUGUCGUGAGAUGUUGGGUUAAGUCCCGCAACGAGCGCAACCCUUAUUCUUAGUUGCCAGCACUAACGGUGGGCACUCUAAGGAGACUGCCGGUGACAAACCGGAGGAAGUGGGAUGACGUCAAAUCAUCAUGCCCUUUAUGACCUGGGCUACACACGUGCUACAAUGGCCUAUACAAAGGGUAGCGAAGCUGUGAAGUGGAGCCAAUCCCAAAAAGUAGGUCUCAGUUCGGAUUGUAGGCUGCAACUCGCCUAUAUGAAGUCGGAAUCGCUAGUAAUCGCGGAUCAGCAUGCCGCGGUGAAUACGUUCCCGGGCCUU